AACUUUCAGCAACGGAUCUCUUGGCUCUCGCAUCGAUGAAGAACGCAGCGAAAUGCGAUAAGUAAUGUGAAUUGCAGAAUUCAGUGAAUCAUCGAAUCUUUGAACGCACCUUGCGCUCCCUGGUAUUCCGGGGA
This 134-nucleotide ribosomal RNA is filed under the name Phanerochaete sordida. RNAcentral describes it as "5.8S ribosomal RNA". It matches the Rfam family "5.8S ribosomal RNA", at positions 1 to 134 of the family's 154-position model. Rfam says of the family: 5.8S ribosomal RNA (5.8S rRNA) is a component of the large subunit of the eukaryotic ribosome. It is transcribed by RNA polymerase I as part of the 45S precursor that also contains 18S and 28S rRNA. Functionally, it is thought that 5.8S rRNA may be involved in ribosome translocation. The record is from RNAcentral. Lineage: Eukaryota; Fungi; Basidiomycota; Agaricomycetes; Polyporales; Phanerochaetaceae.